CAAGAAGCCGAAAGGCUACUUAAAACCAUCGCGAACUUAUCCAAGUUGCUUCGGCGGCGCGGCUCCCCUCACGGGGGACCGCAGCCCCCGCUUCUCAGGAGGUAAGGGGCAGCCGCCGGAGGUACGAAACUCUGUAUUAUAGUGGUAUCUCUGAGUAUAAAACAAAUAAGUUA
Molecule: unclassified non-coding RNA, 173 nt
Filed under: soil metagenome
Description: partial internal transcribed spacer 1
Source: RNAcentral